Molecule: ribosomal RNA, 449 nt
Filed under: uncultured bacterium
Lineage: Bacteria
Description: partial 16S ribosomal RNA
Rfam family: Bacterial small subunit ribosomal RNA
Source: RNAcentral
AACAAACGCUGGCGGCAGGCUUAACACAUGCAAGUCGAACGCAUCCUUCGGGGUGAGUGGCAGACGGGUGAGUAACGCGUGGGAACGUGCCCUUCAGUUCGGGAUAACCCAGGGAAACUUGGGCUAAUACCGGAUACGUGCGAGAGCAGAAAGAUUUAUCGCUGAAGGAUCGACCCGCGUCUGAUUAGCUAGUUGGUGGGGUAAUGGCCCACCAAGGCGACGAUCAGUAGCUGGUCUGAGAGGAUGAUCAGCCACAUUGGGACUGAGACACGGCCCAAACUCCUACGGGAGGCAGCAGUGGGGAAUAUUGGACAAUGGGCGCAAGCCUGAUCCAGCCAUGCCGCGUGAGUGAUGAAGGCCUUAGGGUUGUAAAGCUCUUUCGUCCGGGACGAUAAUGACGGUACCGGAAGAAGAAGCCCCGGCUAACUUCGUGCCAGCAGCCGCCGUAA